UACGGAGGAUCCAAGCGUUAUCCGGAUUUAUUGGGUUUAAAGGGUGCGUAGGCGGGGAAUCAAGUCAGCGGUGAAAGUUUGCGGCUCAACCGUAAAAUUGCCGUUGAAACUGGUUCUCUUGAGUGUAGAUGAGGUGGGUGGAAUUCGUGGUGUAGCGGUGAAAUGCUUAGAUAUCACGAAGAACUCCAAUUGCGUAGGCAGCUCACUGGGCUACAACUGACGCUGAGGCACGAAGGUGCGGGGAUCAAACAGGAUUAGAUACCCUGGUAGUCCGCACAGUAAACGAUGAAUACUAGCUGUUGGCGAUACACUGCCAGUGGCACAGCGAAAGCGUUAAGUAUUCCACCUGGGGAGUACGUUCGCAAGAAUGAAACUCAAAGGAAUUGACGGGGGCCCGCACAAGCGGAGGAACAUGUGGUUUAAUUCGAUGAUACGCGAGGAACCUUACCCGGGCUUGAAUUGCAUCUGAAUACAGCGGAAACGUUGUAGCUAGCAAUAGCAGAUGUGAAGGUGCUGCAUGGUU
Molecule: ribosomal RNA, 523 nt
Filed under: uncultured bacterium
Lineage: Bacteria
Description: bacterial SSU rRNA
Rfam family: Bacterial small subunit ribosomal RNA
Source: RNAcentral